This 464-nucleotide ribosomal RNA is filed under the name uncultured bacterium. RNAcentral's name for it is "partial 16S ribosomal RNA". It matches the Rfam family "Bacterial small subunit ribosomal RNA", at positions 28 to 507 of the family's 1533-position model. The record is from RNAcentral.
GACGAACGCUGGCGGCGUGCUUAACACAUGCAAGUCGAACGGAAAGGCCCCUUUGGGGGUACUCGAGUGGCGAACGGGUGAGUAACACGUGAGUAACCUGCCCUUGACUUCGGGAUAACUUCAGGAAACUGGGGCUAAUACCGGAUAGGAAUCCUUGCUGCAUGGUGGGGGUUGGAAAGCUUCGGCGGUUUUGGAUGGACUCGCGGCUUAUCAGCUUGUUGGUGGGGUAGUGGCUUACCAAGGCUUUGACGGGUAGCCGGCCUGAGAGGGCGACCGGCCACAUUGGGACUGAGAUACGGCCCAGACUCCUACGGGAGGCAGCAGUGGGGAAUAUUGCACAAUGGGCGGAAGCCUGAUGCAGCAACGCCGCGUGCGGGAUGACGGCCUUCGGGUUGUAAACCGCUUUCAGCAGGGCGAAGCUUGUGGUGACGGUACCUGCAGAAGAAGCACCGGCUAACUACGUG